Esox lucius (northern pike) is the source of this 1012-nucleotide long non-coding RNA. Lineage: Eukaryota; Metazoa; Chordata; Actinopteri; Esociformes; Esocidae. The record is from Ensembl.
UGGCUCCCAGCAGUGUAAAUUAACGAAACAGAUACUUUGACCAUUGCUGUAAAUCACGAUUUGGUCUUGCUCAUGAUCAAAGGUGAAUAUGCUUUUGAUGAAAUACCUCGUAAAAUGGCUGAAGACAUCAUGUCACAACAGUUUUACUGUUACAAUGGUCAUUCAUAGCAGUUGGCAUUUCUUUCUGUAAAUCUUUAACUCAAUGUAAAUUUUUCCAAAGAAAAUCCCCUUUCAGCAGUAGACUGCUACACAGUAUGUGGCCUGUACCCAGUGACGCUAAAUACAUUUUUUCUGGACAAUAUUUGGUGUAACAUCAUGUGGAGAAGAAUAAUCAAUAGCCUAUAGCAAAUGUAAGUGUGGCUUUGUCAAAUUAGAAACAGAGAUGUUGUGUGAAAGCACGCUUUGGGUCAUGGUUAAUCAUGAAGAAUUGGACAAACAACCAAGUCCCAAUAAUUUCUCUCUAUCAGAACCGACAUCCGAAAACAACACGUUCUACUCUCAUUUCUGCAAAUGUCUCAAAAUCGAGGGUGAUGACAGUGAAACUAAGGAGAAUACAAAGAAAGAGGUGGGAAACAAGAGAUUGUCUUGUCAAGAAAAGACUCUGAUCCCAGGAGACAAAGGAAUGAGGAAAAUUACAUCAUCACUACCCAUCACUACAAAGUGGUUUGGUCCAAUAAAAAUAGGGUACUCAUCAGCAGCCAGAUGGACUCAGGUACCCUGUCAGCAGUCAUCACCAUGUUCCUCACAGAGUCAUACAAAAAACAAUGUAAUAUAAAGCCUUUGUGCUUUAUUCUCCAUGGGCAUAAUCUCUAAUUAAUAUUUUUCAAAGUGUUAUGGAACAAUGCAGUAUAUAUUGUAUGUUGUUUUACAGUGAUCAAAAAUUAAAAAGCAAAAUGUCUGGAAUAUUUAUUUCAGCUCAUGAAACAGCCACACUCACAUCAACAACCGGAUAGUAUGACAUUUAUCAGGGGCUAUAAGCGGUAUUCAUAUAAACAAAAACAAUUGGCCUAGA